RNAcentral lists this transfer RNA (73 nucleotides) under Hemiphyllodactylus sp. MPH-2011. RNAcentral describes it as "tRNA-Tyr". Lineage: Eukaryota; Metazoa; Chordata; Lepidosauria; Squamata; Gekkonidae. The record is from RNAcentral.
GGUAGUGUGGCCGAGAGCUAGGUGACGAAUUGUAGCUUCGUUGAGGGGAAAAGUGCAGGUAUCCCUACUACCA